ACGGAAGGCAGCAGUGAGGAAUAUUGGUCAAUGGGCGGAAGCCUGAUGCAGCGAUGCCGCGUGAGGGAAGAAGGUUUUCGGAUUGUAAACCUCUGUCAACAGGGACGAAAAUGACGGUACCUGUGAAGGAAGCUCCGGCUAACUACGUGCCAGCAGCCGCGGUAAUACGAGGGGUGCAAGCGUUGUUCGGAAUCACUGGGCGUAAAGGGAGCGCAGGCGGAGAUGCAAGCGGACUGUACAAUCCCGGGGCCCAACCCCGGACCUGCAGUCCGGACUGCACCUCUUGGAUAGUUCAGGGGCAAGCGGAAUUCCUGGUGUAGCGGUGGAAUGCGUAGAGAUCAGGAAGAACACCGAUGGCGAAGGCAGCUUGCUGGGGACUUAUCGACGCUCAUGCUCGAAAAUGCGGGUAGCAAACAGGAUUAGAUACCCUGGUA
RNAcentral lists this ribosomal RNA (434 nucleotides) under uncultured Fibrobacter sp. RNAcentral's name for it is "partial 16S ribosomal RNA". It matches the Rfam family "Bacterial small subunit ribosomal RNA", at positions 341 to 792 of the family's 1533-position model. The record is from RNAcentral. Lineage: Bacteria; Pseudomonadati; Fibrobacterota; Fibrobacteria; Fibrobacterales; Fibrobacteraceae.